Molecule: long non-coding RNA, 1032 nt
Organism: Oreochromis niloticus (Nile tilapia)
Lineage: Eukaryota; Metazoa; Chordata; Actinopteri; Cichliformes; Cichlidae
Exons: 5
Source: RefSeq, a predicted model, not a curated record
UAUAUUGCGGGAUGACGUCACCUGAAAAUGACCAAUAGCGCGGCGCGCUGCUGAGCUGUGUGCCAACCGCUCUUUUUUUCAUGCAGGAGACUCAAGUUGGCUUCGCUAACGGACACAGUUUUGAACUCAUAUAUUAGCGCCAUUUAUUGCUGCUUGGACCACAGCAUCUUCGGAAUUUGUAGUCAUCCUGGCAGCUUACAAUUAGUUCGAGGUGAGGUGAGUACAUGCAACUUCAAGUUAUCUCUGUUAUAAAAAUCCACCAGCCCAGCGUUUAUAGAUAAUUUUAGCAGUUCGUUUUUUAUGAGUGAGGUUGUGAAUUUAGUUAGCAUUUGUGAGUUGAGUUAGCAUUACUGUCGCGAGGGAAGCAUUGCUCUGGAUUAGUUUCUGUGUUUGGCGUGCUUAAUUCGCUAGGGAGGAAUUACCAAAGUACAUGGAGUUAUGUUAACCUGUAAUUUCUGUGGUAAGGUAGUUCAGUCAUCAAGGGGCUACGUGCUUCAUUGUAAACUGCAUCGGAAUGAGCCACGUUGUUUCUUUCGGUGUAUUGAAGCAGGCUGCAAGCAGACAUACACCAGACACUGAAUUUGAGCAGAAACCAUAAGGAUAGUCAAAGGACCUGUGACUCUCAGGAAAUGCAUCAAAUGAGAGGGACAGAUGAAACAGUUUCAAGACAAUGGCAGGAAAAACAUGCUGAAGAUUGAAACAAACCUUGGCUGGAAAUAUUUGAAGGUAUCUAGCCAGUCCACAAUGAAAGCUUCGUUGCACCCCAUGAGUCUUCUGGCAGAAAUGAUGGCGCCUGUAUUCUUUGGUUUCCCUAAACAUCACACCCUGCCUGUUUAUACGAGGCUCUUCAAUUAAGUCUGCACCCAAAGAUUCAAUAAGAGAGGGGAUCCUGCCAGUCCAAAGUGAACUCCUGAUGGACAUUGAAGUACUCCUGCAGAGCUUGUAUCUUCGACACCAUGCGCAUUAGAAACUCCACUGAGUCCUUUCCUUCACCAAGGCAGGACCCAGUGACUCAUUACUGUUGAUAGGUCA